Molecule: small nucleolar RNA, 73 nt
Organism: Topomyia yanbarensis
Lineage: Eukaryota; Metazoa; Arthropoda; Insecta; Diptera; Culicidae
Product: small nucleolar RNA U18
Exons: 1
Source: RefSeq, a predicted model, not a curated record
ACUAUGAUGAUAAUGUUGGUCCGUGUUUAUGAUUUUUUUUGAUUAUUACUAUCAUUGCCACUUUCUGACUAUA